AUGACCACAUCACGAGAAACACCGGUCCUCGUACGAUCACCUAAGUUAAGCAAGCCCGAUCCUGGUCAGUACUUAGAUGGGUGACCGCUUGGGAAUACCAGGUGCUGUAAG
This is a non-coding RNA of Acanthosepion pharaonis, 111 nucleotides long. NCBI's taxonomy places the organism in Eukaryota, Metazoa, Mollusca, Cephalopoda, Sepiida, Sepiidae. The record is from the annotation of a GenBank genome assembly.